CCCCCGACCUCAGUAUUGUUCGUACUCUUCGCUUACUGAACUCCCCAUCUCUACAUUUUAGUGUUUUUGUUAGGGUUUCUUCUUUCGUUAUUUGUAUGUUCAAUUCCUUCGUAUUUCAUUUACUGAAUGGAAGAAGGUAAAUGGAGUGAAUGCCAAUUUGCAGAGCAAGGGCGUCUUUGAUUUAAUGGCGUGAAUUGCAUUGAAGGGUUUCUAUAGUUGCAUUGAAUUUAGAAACGAGAUGGAUUAGUGGACGAAAGCGAAUAUGUGGAUUUUCUCUUUAUCAAGACUCAUAUCAUGAUGAUCGUCUAAUUAUACUCAAAUGAUCUCUUCAUUGUGGAGGAUGUGGAAGAAAAUGACGUGCGAAAGAAGUGGUCUUUUUGAAAUGCAAACAGACAAUUGAAAUUGAAAUUUGUAUAUAGAUUCAGAAUACAUUUCAUAAAUUGCAAAAUGGAGAUCUAACAAAAAUAUGAGUAGUAAAUCAAUCUGAAAGGGUAUGGUUUCGUA
Molecule: long non-coding RNA, 504 nt
Organism: Cucumis sativus (cucumber)
Lineage: Eukaryota; Viridiplantae; Streptophyta; Magnoliopsida; Cucurbitales; Cucurbitaceae
Exons: 2
Source: RefSeq, a predicted model, not a curated record